This 251-nucleotide ribosomal RNA is filed under the name uncultured bacterium. Its description in RNAcentral is "partial 16S ribosomal RNA". It matches the Rfam family "Bacterial small subunit ribosomal RNA", at positions 524 to 776 of the family's 1533-position model. The record is from RNAcentral.
UACGUAGGUGGCAAGCGUGUCCGGAUUAUUGGGCGUAAAGCGCGCGCAGGUGGUUUCUUAAGUCUGAUGUGAAAGCCCCCGGCUCAACCGGGGAGGGUCAUUGGAAACUGGGAAACUUGAGUGCAGAAGAGGAUAGUGGAAUUCCAAGUGUAGCGGUGAAAUGCGUAGAGAUUUGGAGGAACACCAGUGGCGAAGGCGACUGUCUGGUCUGUAACUGACACUGAGGCGCGAAAGCGUGGGGAGCAAACAGG